GACGAACGCUGGCGGCGUGCUUAACACAUGCAAGUCGAACGGAAAGGCCCUGCUUUUGUGGGGUGCUCGAGUGGCGAACGGGUGAGUAACACGUGAGUAACCUGCCCUUGACUUUGGGAUAACUUCAGGAAACUGGGGCUAAUACCGGAUAGGAGCUCCUGCUGCAUGGUGGGGGUUGGAAAGUUUCGGCGGUUGGGGAUGGACUCGCGGCUUAUCAGCUUGUUGGUGGGGUAGUGGCUUACCAAGGCUUUGACGGGUAGCCGGCCUGAGAGGGUGACCGGCCACAUUGGGACUGAGAUACGGCCCAGACUCCUACGGGAGGCAGCAGUGGGGAAUAUUGCACAAUGGGCGGAAGCCUGAUGCAGCAACGCCGCGUGCGGGAUGACGGCCUUCGGGUUGUAAACCGCUUUCGCCUGUGACGAAGCGUGAGUGACGGUAAUGGGUAAAGAAGCACCGGCUAACUACGUGCCAGCAGCCGCGGUGAUACGUAGGGUGCGAGCGUUGUCCGGAUUUAUUGGGCGUAAAGGGCUCGUAGGUGGUUGAUCGCGUCGGAAGUGUAAUCUUGGGGCUUAACCCUGAGCGUGCUUUCGAUACGGGUUGACUUGAGGAAGGUAGGGGAGAAUGGAAUUCCUGGUGGAGCGGUGGAAUGCGCAGAUAUCAGGAGGAACACCAGUGGCGAAGGCGGUUCUCUGGGCCUUUCCUGACGCUGAGGAGCGAAAGCGUGGGGAGCGAACAGGCUUAGAUACCCUGGUAGUCCACGCUGUAAACGGUGGGUACUAGGUGUGGGGUCCAUUCCACGGGUUCCGUGCCGUAGCUAACGCUUUAAGUACCCCGCCUGGGGAGUACGGCCGCAAGGCUAAAACUCAAAGAAAUUGACGGGGCCCCGCACAAGCGGCGGAGCAUGCGGAUUAAUUCGAUGCAACGCGUAGAACCUUACCUGGGUUUGACAUGGAUCGGGAGUGCUCAGAGAUGGGUGUGCCUCUUUUGGGGUCGGUUCACAGGUGGUGCAUGGCUGUCGUCAGCUCGUGUCGUGAGAUGUUGGGUUAAGUCCCGCAACGAGCGCAACCCUUGUUCACUGUUGCCAGCACGUUAUGGUGGGGACUCAGUGGAGACCGCCGGGGUCAACUCGGAGGAAGGUGGGGAUGACGUCAAGUCAUCAUGCCCCUUAUGUCCAGGGCUUCACGCAUGCUACAAUGGCUGGUACAGAGAGUGGCGAGCCUGUGAGGGUGAGCGAAUCUCGGAAAGCCGGUCUCAGUUCGGAUUGGGGUCUGCAACUCGACCUCAUGAAGUCGGAGUCGCUAGUAAUCGCAGAUCAGCAACGCUGCGGUGAAUACGUUCCCGGG
This 1343-nucleotide ribosomal RNA is filed under the name uncultured bacterium. RNAcentral describes it as "16S ribosomal RNA". It matches the Rfam family "Bacterial small subunit ribosomal RNA", at positions 28 to 1378 of the family's 1533-position model. The record is from RNAcentral.